AUUAGAGUUUGAUCCUGGCUCAGAUUGAACGCUGGCGGCAGGCCUAACACAUGCAAGUCGAGCGGUAGCACAGAGAGCUUGCUCUCGGGUGACGAGCGGCGGACGGGUGAGUAAUGUCUGGGAAACUGCCUGAUGGAGGGGGAUAACUACUGGAAACGGUAGCUAAUACCGCAUAAUGUCGCAAGACCAAAGUGGGGGACCUUCGGGCCUCAUGCCAUCAGAUGUGCCCAGAUGGGAUUAGCUAGUAGGUGGGGUAACGGCUCACCUAGGCGACGAUCCCUAGCUGGUCUGAGAGGAUGACCAGCCACACUGGAACUGAGACACGGUCCAGACUCCUACGGGAGGCAGCAGUGGGGAAUAUUGCACAAUGGGCGCAAGCCUGAUGCAGCCAUGCCGCGUGUGUGAAGAAGGCCUUCGGGUUGUAAAGCACUUUCAGCGGGGAGGAAGGCGGUGAGGUUAAUAACCUCACCGAUUGACGUUACCCGCAGAAGAAGCACCGGCUAACUCCGUGCCAGCAGCCGCGGUAAUACGGAGGGUGCAAGCGUUAAUCGGAAUUACUGGGCGUAAAGCGCACGCAGGCGGUCUGUCAAGUCGGAUGUGAAAUCCCCGGGCUCAACCUGGGAACUGCAUUCGAAACUGGCAGGCUAGAGUCUUGUAGAGGGGGGUAGAAUUCCAGGUGUAGCGGUGAAAUGCGUAGAGAUCUGGAGGAAUACCGGUGGCGAAGGCGGCCCCCUGGACAAAGACUGACGCUCAGGUGCGAAAGCGUGGGGAGCAAACAGGAUUAGAUACCCUGGUAGUCCACGCUGUAAACGAUGUCGAUUUGGAGGUUGUGCCCUUGAGGCGUGGCUUCCGGAGCUAACGCGUUAAAUCGACCGCCUGGGGAGUACGGCCGCAAGGUUAAAACUCAAAUGAAUUGACGGGGGCCCGCACAAGCGGUGGAGCAUGUGGUUUAAUUCGAUGCAACGCGAAGAACCUUACCUGGUCUUGACAUCCACAGAACUUAGCAGAGAUGCUUUGGUGCCUUCGGGAACUGUGAGACAGGUGCUGCAUGGCUGUCGUCAGCUCGUGUUGUGAAAUGUUGGGUUAAGUCCCGCAACGAGCGCAACCCUUAUCCUUUGUUGCCAGCGGUCCGGCCGGGAACUCAAAGGAGACUGCCAGUGAUAAACUGGAGGAAGGUGGGGAUGACGUCAAGUCAUCAUGGCCCUUACGACCAGGGCUACACACGUGCUACAAUGGCAUAUACAAAGAGAAGCGACCUCGCGAGAGCAAGCGGACCUCAUAAAGUAUGUCGUAGUCCGGAUUGGAGUCUGCAACUCGACUCCAUGAAGUCGGAAUCGCUAGUAAUCGUAGAUCAGAAUGCUACGGUGAAUACGUUCCCGGGCCUUGUACACACCGCCCGUCACACCAUGGGAGUGGGUUGCAAAAGAAGUAGGUAGCUUAACCUUCGGGAGGGCGCUUACCACUUUGUGAUUCAUGACUGGGGUGAAGUCGUAACAAGGUAACCGUAGGGGAACCUGCGGCUGGAUCACCUCCUAAUCG
This 1539-nucleotide ribosomal RNA is filed under the name Klebsiella pneumoniae. Its description in RNAcentral is "bacterial SSU rRNA". It matches the Rfam family "Bacterial small subunit ribosomal RNA". Lineage: Bacteria; Pseudomonadati; Pseudomonadota; Gammaproteobacteria; Enterobacterales; Enterobacteriaceae. The record is from RNAcentral.